GUGCCAGCCGCCGCGGUAAUACGGAGGGUGCAAGCGUUAAUCGGAAUUACUGGGCGUAAAGCGCACGCAGGCGGUUUGUUAAGUCAGAUGUGAAAUCCCCGCGCUUAACGUGGGAACUGCAUUUGAAACUGGCAAGCUAGAGUCUUGUAGAGGGGGGUAGAAUUCCAGGUGUAGCGGUGAAAUGCGUAGAGAUCUGGAGGAAUACCGGUGGCGAAGGCGGCCCCCUGGACAAAGACUGACGCUCAGGUGCGAAAGCGUGGGGAGCAAACAGGAUUAGAUACCCUGGUAGUCCACGCUGUAAACGAUGUCGACUUGGAGGUUGUGCCCUUGAGGCGUGGCUUCCGGAGCUAACGCGUUUAAGCGACCGCCUGGGGAGUACGGCCGCAAGGUUAAAACUCAAAUGAAUUGACGGGGCCCGCACAAGCGGUGGAGCAUGUGGUUAAUUCGAAGCAACGCGAAGAACCUUACCAAGGUCCUUGACAUACUCGUG
RNAcentral lists this ribosomal RNA (490 nucleotides) under uncultured Yersinia sp. RNAcentral describes it as "bacterial SSU rRNA". It matches the Rfam family "Bacterial small subunit ribosomal RNA", at positions 505 to 994 of the family's 1533-position model. Lineage: Bacteria; Pseudomonadati; Pseudomonadota; Gammaproteobacteria; Enterobacterales; Yersiniaceae. The record is from RNAcentral.